GAAGAUAUAGCUCAAGUGGCAGAGCACAUGCUUAGCACGCACAGGGUCCUGGGUUCAAUCCCCAGCACCUCCA
This 73-nucleotide transfer RNA is filed under the name Camelus bactrianus (Bactrian camel). It matches the Rfam family "tRNA". Rfam says of the family: Transfer RNA (tRNA) molecules are approximately 80 nucleotides in length. Their secondary structure includes four short double-helical elements and three loops (D, anti-codon, and T loops). The record is from Rfam by way of RNAcentral. Lineage: Eukaryota; Metazoa; Chordata; Mammalia; Artiodactyla; Camelidae. RNAcentral also lists the same sequence under 3 other names.